RNAcentral lists this long non-coding RNA (1148 nucleotides) under Sarcophilus harrisii (Tasmanian devil). RNAcentral's name for it is "lncRNA (ENSSHAG00000020491.1)". The record is from RNAcentral. Lineage: Eukaryota; Metazoa; Chordata; Mammalia; Dasyuromorphia; Dasyuridae.
AAAAGAAGCAAAAGAAGUCAAAGAAUCUGAAUUGAAAUUUCCCUUCAAUUCACUCACAUUUAAUGCGCCAGUUAUUCUGGAGGGUGCAGACGGAUUUCUUCAACACAAGACCAUUGGAAUUGGUCCUAAUCAUCUCUAUUUAAAAGAGCCAUGUCCUUCAGAACUGAUCAUCGUAUAAUCUUGCUAUUGCUGUGAACAAUGAUCUCCUGGUUCUGCUCAUUUCACUUAGCAUCAAUUCAUAAGCUGUGUUUAAAAUGAAAACUGAGCCAUGCCCAAUGAGUUGCAGAAAAAGGAACUUGGAGACAGCAAUACAUGUGUAUGGGGGAAAAGGAUUAAUGAAUUUCUUCCUCACCAGAUACUGCUGUUAUGAAGUCAGAUUCCAAAGAAACAUUGAUGGCUGAGAUUUUAUAUGGAGAUUGUACAGUUUGUACCAAAGAGGAUUUCUUCUACUGAACCAAAGGCUAAUAUGCUGAAAAUAGCCUCAAGUUGUUUUUGGAUAUUUUGAUUGGUAGUGGAAAAAAAUAUUCCUGGAGCCUUUUCUGUCCUUUAACUAUUGUGCAAAAACCUUUCUUACAGUUUGUUGAGAAGCUGUAAUAGAGUGACUAUUGUUUUUAAUGCUUCAUUGAUGCUUUGAGUUUUUAUGUCACAAUGUUUUCAGGAUACAUAUUUUCUUUUCACAUUACAAAAACGAUCCUAUAUUGUUUAAUUCAGGGUUCAAAUCUAAACAGUUGUACAAAACUUUCCUCAUUAGUGGGGAGAAUGAUGCCUGACUGUUCUAUACUUUCAUAAGAGGUGGAGUUAAUGAGAGCCAAGAAUGAGGGAGAAUGUUCUCUCCUGAAACCAGAUACCCAAAAAACAAUUCUCAUCUUUUAAGUUCUCUCCAGUUCUACCUUUUAGGUAGAUUCAAAGUGAUGAGUAAUAAUUCUCUUUAGCAAUGAAGAGAGUUCUCUUUAGCAAUGAAGAUAAAUUUUUACAAAAAAUUUAGGUUCAAAUCCUAGAUUACCUUUGUAACAAAGAAAAUCAGUGAAGCAAACUGACAAUAAUGGCAUGCAAGAGUAUAGUGUAAUUGUAUUACUAAUCCCCUAUCUUUCUAUUGCAAGGAAGGAGAUGAUUACACACGUUUUCUCCAGGGUUCACCUUUAUUCUAG